Cercocebus atys (sooty mangabey) is the source of this 1250-nucleotide long non-coding RNA. RefSeq lists it as uncharacterized. The record is from RefSeq and is a predicted model, not a curated record. Lineage: Eukaryota; Metazoa; Chordata; Mammalia; Primates; Cercopithecidae. The transcript has 2 exons.
GCCAAGAUCGCGCCAUUGCACUCCAGCCUGGGCAACAGAGUGAGAUUCUGUCUCAGAAAAAAAAAAAUGAAAUCUAUAAGACAAUUUAGAGAGGAUAAUCAGAAAGCCACAGCAUUCCACACAAAUUCAGUAGUUUAGACAAGUGUUUAAAGGGAAAAUGCAGGAAUUAGGUUACUUCCUUAAAAAAACGUGAAUACUUCCAAAAGAGUGUUGGGAAAGAAGUAAAAACUAAAGUAUUUCUAUUAAUUUUUAGGAAAUAUAAAAAACCAUACUGGACUUCCUCUCGCCCAUUCAGUUGAAAUUUAGAAAUAGUAAUUCUAUAACAGUGCUUGAAAUUUUUAAAGUACCAUUCCAGAAGCUAAGAACAAAUUUAGAUACUGAGAUACCACCAGCUUUUCAUGUAGGCAGCUGUGUUCCAGAACUUGUAGAACUUAGGCACAGAUAGCACAAGGUAGCAAAAAUAGCUCAUAUGAAAAAAUAGUAGAUAUGUAAUGAUACAUGAAAUUAUACUAAAUUCUACAUUAUUGCUAUUUUCUUUCCCUCCCAUUAGAACAUUAAUAUGUUCUAAUUCUAUUAAUAUAAAAUAUUAAUAGAAUUAGUUAAUGUAACAUUAAUAUAUUUUCUCUCUUAAUAAAACAUUAAGCCCCAGUGACUGGUCAUCUUCAUUAAAUUAGCUGUACCUCCUUACUGCUGCGAUGGCUAGCACGGCUACUGCCAACUUAGAAAGGGACAAAAAGUCACGUGGUUGACCUUAAUGACAAGAAAAGUCACAGAUUCACUUCUAAUUUAUAAUUCUCAGAAUUAAUGUGCAAUUUUGAGUUGUCUCCAUUAAAUCUCUUGAACAGAAUCAUCAUUUUGCUCCACAUUCGGUUUCUGUGUGUUUCCAUCCUAAUGCCUGAGCAACAGGGUGGUGGUGCUGAUUGGAAGCUAACUUGCAUUCUCCGUGAGGAACACUGGAAGGGCAGAGCAGGCCACCAGGAUCCUGUUUUCAUGCAGCUCCUAAAUAUUGUGGGAACCAGUGAUGGGUCUUUGGCAAUUGUGGGCAGCCGCCCGGGCUACAAGAAUAGGGAGCUUGAACAAAGGUGGAGAUGUCCUGAAGCUGGAGAGAGGCUCAAACUACUUAAACUUUCUGCAACAUCGGCAUCUGAUAAUCUGAAUCCCUGCCUGAAUCAGCAGUAGAAACAACCAUCAUUAGGACUCUUGUUUACUCUGGAAGAACUGAUAAGGUUAAAAAAAAAAAAAAAAAAAAA